This 159-nucleotide ribosomal RNA is filed under the name uncultured Lactobacillus sp. RNAcentral's name for it is "partial 16S ribosomal RNA". It matches the Rfam family "Bacterial small subunit ribosomal RNA", at positions 355 to 507 of the family's 1533-position model. Lineage: Bacteria; Bacillati; Bacillota; Bacilli; Lactobacillales; Lactobacillaceae. The record is from RNAcentral.
UAGGGAAUCUUCCACAAUGGACGCAAGUCUGAUGGAGCAACGCCGCGUGAGUGAAGAAGGCUUUCGGGUCGUAAAACUCUGUUGUUGGAGAAGAACGUCUUCAGAGUAACUGUUGUCGGCGUGACGGUAUCCUACCAGAAAGCCACGGCUAACUACGUG